CCUACGGGUGGCAGCAGUGAGGAAUAUUGGUCAAUGGUCGGGAGACUGAACCAGCCAAGCCGCGUGAGGGAGGAAGGUACAGAGUAUCGUAAACCUCUUUUGUCAGGGAACAAAGGCGGGGACGCGUCCCCGGAUGAGUGUACCUGAAGAAAAAGCAUCGGCAAACUCCGUGCCAGCAGCCGCGGUAAUACGGAGGAUGCGAGCGUUAUCCGGUUUUUUUGGGUUUAAGGGGUGCGCAGGCGGUCUGUUAAGUCAGCGGUCAAAGCCCGGGGUUAACCCCCGGCCCGCCGUUGAAACUGGCAGUCUCGAGUGGGAGAGAAGUAAGCGGAAUGCGCGGUGUAGCGGUGAAAUGCAUAGAGAUCGCGCAGAACUCCGAUUGCGAAGGCAGCAUGCCGGCUCCACACUGACGCUGAGGCACGAAAGCGUGGGUAUCGAACAGGAUUAGAUACCCCAGUAGUC
Molecule: ribosomal RNA, 459 nt
Filed under: uncultured bacterium
Lineage: Bacteria
Description: partial 16S ribosomal RNA
Rfam family: Bacterial small subunit ribosomal RNA
Source: RNAcentral